Mycena vitilis is the source of this 119-nucleotide non-coding RNA. The record is from the annotation of a GenBank genome assembly. Lineage: Eukaryota; Fungi; Basidiomycota; Agaricomycetes; Agaricales; Mycenaceae.
GGCACUAUGGCCGAGUGGUUAAGGCGACAGAUUUGAAUGUCCAGCUGCUGCCCAAGCAUCAGUUCCGAUUCAUUAUCUGUUGGGAUUUUCCCACGCAGGUUCGAGUCCUGUUGGUGUCG